Molecule: long non-coding RNA, 220 nt
Filed under: Nicotiana benthamiana
Lineage: Eukaryota; Viridiplantae; Streptophyta; Magnoliopsida; Solanales; Solanaceae
Description: long non-coding RNA (NBEN_LNC025380)
Source: RNAcentral
UAUUUCUGUCUUUAAUGGCGUCUCCAAGACCCAUUGCAUCAAAAUGGAUUUCAGCAUCCAACGCCCAUGUCAUGUAGUUCUUGCCCGAAAUUUCAAGGGCAAGAAACUUUCUUUUCAUAAAGUCAGACAUAAUUAAAACAAAAUUAGGAGGAGAAAAAAUACCUUAAUUUUCUCAAAGAGAUUCUUGAGAUAGUAGAGCUUCGUGCUGAUAACGUGUUAC